RNAcentral lists this signal recognition particle RNA (299 nucleotides) under Cebus imitator (Panamanian white-faced capuchin). RNAcentral describes it as "Metazoan signal recognition particle RNA (ENSCCAG00000001916.1)". It matches the Rfam family "Metazoan signal recognition particle RNA". Rfam says of the family: The signal recognition particle (SRP) is a universally conserved ribonucleoprotein. It is involved in the co-translational targeting of proteins to membranes. The record is from RNAcentral. Lineage: Eukaryota; Metazoa; Chordata; Mammalia; Primates; Cebidae.
GCUGGGUGCAGUGCGUGUGCCUGUAGUCCCAGCUACUUGGGAGGCUGAGGUGGGAAGAUCACUUGAGCCCAGGAGUUCUGGGCUGUAGUGCGCUAUACCGAUCGGGUGUCCACACUAAGUUUCGCAUCAAUAUGGUGACCUCCUGGGAGCAGAGGACCACCAGGUUGCCUAAGGAGUGGUGAACCGGCCCAGGUCAGAAAUGGAGCAGGUCAAAACUCCCGUGCUGAUCAGUAGUAGGAUUGCGCCUGUGAAUAGCCACUGCGCUCCAGCCUGGGCAACAUAGCGAGACCCCCAUCUCU